This 395-nucleotide ribosomal RNA is filed under the name Escherichia coli. RNAcentral describes it as "partial 23S ribosomal RNA". It matches the Rfam family "Bacterial large subunit ribosomal RNA", at positions 612 to 1007 of the family's 2925-position model. Lineage: Bacteria; Pseudomonadati; Pseudomonadota; Gammaproteobacteria; Enterobacterales; Enterobacteriaceae. The record is from RNAcentral.
AUAAUGGGUCAGCGACUUAUAUUCUGUAGCAAGGUUAACCGAAUAGGGGAGCCGAAGGGAAACCGAGUCUUAACUGGGCGUUAAGUUGCAGGGUAUAGACCCGAAACCCGGUGAUCUAGCCAUGGGCAGGUUGAAGGUUGGGUAACACUAACUGGAGGACCGAACCGACUAAUGUUGAAAAAUUAGCGGAUGACUUGUGGCUGGGGGUGAAAGGCCAAUCAAACCGGGAGAUAGCUGGUUCUCCCCGAAAGCUAUUUAGGUAGCGCCUCGUGAAUUCAUCUCCGGGGGUAGAGCACUGUUUCGGCAAGGGGGUCAUCCCGACUUACCAACCCGAUGCAAACUGCGAAUACCGGAGAAUGUUAUCACGGGAGACACACGGCGGGUGCUAACGUCCG